Oryza glumipatula is the source of this 206-nucleotide non-coding RNA. The record is from Rfam. NCBI's taxonomy places the organism in Eukaryota, Viridiplantae, Streptophyta, Magnoliopsida, Poales, Poaceae.
AAUAAAUGUAAUUUUGCACUGUUCAUGUCCAACGUUUAACCGUUCGUUUUUUUUUAAAAAAAUAUGAUUAGUAUUUUUAUCGUUAUCAGAUGAUAAAACAUAAAUAAUACUUUAUGUGUGACUAUUUUUUUUUAAUUUUAUCAUAAAAUUUUUAAAUAAGACUGAUGGUCAAACGUUGAAUAUAAAUGUCCACGGCUGCACUUAUU